RNAcentral lists this ribosomal RNA (200 nucleotides) under uncultured bacterium. RNAcentral's name for it is "partial 16S ribosomal RNA". It matches the Rfam family "Bacterial small subunit ribosomal RNA", at positions 28 to 229 of the family's 1533-position model. The record is from RNAcentral.
GAUGAACGCUAGCGGGAGGCUUAACACAUGCAAGCCGAGGGGUAUAUAGUUUUCGGAUUAUAGAGACCGGCGCACGGGUGCGUAACGCGUAUGCAACCUACCUUGAUCUGGGGGAUAGCCCGAAGAAAUUCGGAUUAACACCGCAUAAAAUCACAGUACCGCAUGGUACAAUGAUCAAAUAUUUAUAGGAUUGAGAUGGG